GUCUGGUGUUCUACAGGGUGGUUGGAAAGAGCCUGAGACAGGAGUUCCACAAGGUCCUUGAUCAUUGCAGUCCCAGGCUCAUGGAAAUCUUCAAGGCAAAGAGAGUCCUCACAGGGCAGGACCUGAUGCCACAAAGAAAGGACAUUGAUGAAGAGGAAGAUUUGUGCGGUGGGGAUCCUCUGCCAUGAACGGGAGAACAUCACUCCACACUCACA
Salarias fasciatus (jewelled blenny) is the source of this 215-nucleotide long non-coding RNA. RefSeq lists it as uncharacterized. Lineage: Eukaryota; Metazoa; Chordata; Actinopteri; Blenniiformes; Blenniidae. The transcript is spliced from 3 exons. The record is from RefSeq and is a predicted model, not a curated record.